UACGGAGGGUGCAAGCGUUAUCCGGAUUCACUGGGUUUAAAGGGUGCGUAGGCGGGCAGGUAAGUCAGUGGUGAAAUCCUGGAGCUUAACUCCAGAACUGCCAUUGAUACUAUCAGUCUUGAAUAUUGUGGAGGUAAGCGGAAUAUGUCAUGUAGCGGUGAAAUGCUUAGAUAUGACAUAGAACACCUAUUGCGAAGGCAGCUUACUACGCAUAUAUUGACGCUGAGGCACGAAAGCGUGGGGAUCAAACAGG
RNAcentral lists this ribosomal RNA (253 nucleotides) under uncultured Sphingobacteriales bacterium. RNAcentral describes it as "partial 16S ribosomal RNA". It matches the Rfam family "Bacterial small subunit ribosomal RNA", at positions 524 to 776 of the family's 1533-position model. The record is from RNAcentral. Lineage: Bacteria; Pseudomonadati; Bacteroidota; Sphingobacteriia; Sphingobacteriales.